Molecule: long non-coding RNA, 889 nt
Organism: Astyanax mexicanus (Mexican tetra)
Lineage: Eukaryota; Metazoa; Chordata; Actinopteri; Characiformes; Acestrorhamphidae
Exons: 3
Source: RefSeq, a predicted model, not a curated record
GCAUACCAGUUAAUGAGCAAAAGGAAGUCAAUGAGUAAGUUGCUCAGUAAUUGGUUGAGGCAGCCAAUAAAGGAGUCAGAGUGUGAGGGAAUAUAUAAUUCAGUCAAAAUGAAUGACUAAUUAUUUACAAAGAGUGAGGAGUGAGUGGGUCAGUAAAUGAGUCAGUGAUUUAGUGAGUGAGUAAGUCAGUAGGUUACGGAGUGAGUGAGUCUGUGAUUCAGGGAGUAAAGAUUCAGUAGGUUACUGUGUGAGUGAGUCUGUGUUUCAUGGAGUAGGGAUUCAGUAGGUUACUGUGUGAGUGAGUCUGUGAUUCAGGGGGUAGGGAUUCAGUAGGUUACUGUGUGAGUGAGUCUGUGAUUCAGGGAGUAAGGAUUCAGUAGGUCACUGUGUGAGUGAGUCUGUGAUUUAGGGAGUAGUGAUUCAGUAGGUCACUGUGUGAGUGAGUCUGUGAUUCAGGGAGUAGGGAUUCAGUAGGUUACUGUGUGAGUAAGUCUGUGAUUCAGGGAGUAGGGAUUCAGUAGGUCACUGUGUGAGUGAGUCAGUGAUUUUGGGAGUAGUGAUUCAGUAGGUUACUGUGUGAGUAAGUCUGUGAUUCAGGGAGUAGGGAUUCAGUAGGUUACUGUGUGAGUGAGUCUGUGAUUCAGGGAGUAGGGAUUCAGUAGGUCACUGUGUGAGUGAGUCAGUGAUUCAGGGAGUAGGGAUUCAGUAGGUAACUGUGUGAGUGAGUCUGUGAUUCAGGGAGUAGGGAUUCAGUAGGUAACUGUGUGAGUGAGUCUGUGAUUCAGGGAGUAGGGAUUCAGUAGGUAACUGUGUGGGUGAGUCAGUGAUUCAGGAAAUAGGGAUUCUGUAGGUUACUGAGUGAGUGAGUCUGUGAUUCAGUAGAUGAGUG